GGGGUUGUGGCUCAGUGGUAGAGUGUUUGCCUAGCAUGUGUAAGUCAAUGGGCUCAAUCCUCAGCACCA
RNAcentral lists this transfer RNA (69 nucleotides) under Marmota monax (woodchuck). RNAcentral describes it as "tRNA.Ala". Lineage: Eukaryota; Metazoa; Chordata; Mammalia; Rodentia; Sciuridae. The record is from RNAcentral.